UCCCUCUCCUUCCCCUCCACCAAACGCCGACUCUUUCUCCUUCUCUUCGCCUCUUUGCGCCACCACUCAAUGCAGCAGAUCGGCGCCAUCGGACCGCCAACCGUCAGUCUCCCUAGUCCUUCCUAUGUCUCCGAGUUCUUAUCCUCUGCUGCCGACUAUCGAGCCAUGCUUACUCCAGCCAAUCUCUGCCCUAGUGCCUGCAUCGCCUUAUCCUCUGCCUAGGCUCACCACCACAGCAGCAUCCCAAGUCCCUCUAAGAGAGAUAUUGGAUAUGGUUCGACAGUAGCAGGUAAAAGAUUUAUAGAGUCGCCUGGAGAUCUUGUCGGCCAGUCAUAUGUCACAUCGAGUAACUUCUAUCAUUAUUGCUUCCACUCGCAUUAUUGGUUUUGUAUUUGUAUUUUUAUUAUGUACCUUCUAUAGGGAUUUUUGGACUUGUGGCGUCAUAUAUUUCGGUUAUGUA
This is a long non-coding RNA of Zingiber officinale, 460 nucleotides long. RefSeq lists it as uncharacterized. Lineage: Eukaryota; Viridiplantae; Streptophyta; Magnoliopsida; Zingiberales; Zingiberaceae. The transcript has 2 exons. The record is from RefSeq and is a predicted model, not a curated record.